GAUGAACGCUGGCGGCGUGCUUAACACAUGCAAGUCGAACGAUGAAGCCCAGAUUGCUGGGUGGAUUAGUGGCGAACGGGUGAGUAACACGUGAGUAACCUGCCCUUAACUCUGGGAUAAGCAUGGGAAACUGGGUCUAAUACCGGAUAGGAGCGACUACCGCAUGGUGGGUGUUGGAAAGAUUUAUCGGUUUUGGAUGGACUCGCGGCUUAUCAGCUUGUUGGUGAGGUAAUGGCUCACCAAGGCGACGACGGGUAGACGGCCUGGGAGGGUGACCGGCCACACUGGUACUGCGACACGGCCCAGACGCCUACGGGAGGCAGCAGUGGGGAAUAUUGCACAAUGGGCGAGAGCCUGAUGCAGCGACGCUGCGUGAGGGAUGCCGGCCUUCGGGUUGUAAACCUCUUUCAGUAGGGAAGAAGCGAAAGUGACGGUACCUGCAGAAGAAGCACCGGCUAACUACGUG
This 466-nucleotide ribosomal RNA is filed under the name uncultured bacterium. RNAcentral's name for it is "partial 16S ribosomal RNA". It matches the Rfam family "Bacterial small subunit ribosomal RNA", at positions 28 to 507 of the family's 1533-position model. The record is from RNAcentral.